RNA transcript from Hylaeus anthracinus, 623 nucleotides. It is a transcript of the gene named HIG1 domain family member 2A, mitochondrial-like, with no coding region annotated. The record is from RefSeq and is a predicted model, not a curated record. The transcript is spliced from 3 exons. NCBI's taxonomy places the organism in Eukaryota, Metazoa, Arthropoda, Insecta, Hymenoptera, Colletidae.
AAAAAUCUAAUUCUACAUAACAGUCUCGCCUUGCCACCAUCACGUGUGAUCACGUGGUUUUAUUUAGAUCUACAUAUAUAUAUAUAUACUUUAUUGUCUUAUGAAACGUACCUACUAUAGAACAAUUUCAUGAAGAAUAAUCAAAUCUUCGAGCAUUAUUGCAAAGCAUUGCACCGACCGUGUUUUAUAUUAUGAUCACGCAUUUAUAAAGUCGACAUACACCUAACCGAUACGUCGUGCCAUACUGUCAUACAUAACUUUUUUAUCGACCUCCUGAAACUUUGAAAUGGAAGUUCCAAACAAUAUGGAGAAGAAUUCAGAUAUGAUGAAUGAAUUGGAUUGGAUUCGGAUACGUGCGGAGCUUAGCGAUCAUAUAAAAGUGGAAACGUUCACAGAAAAAAUGGUGCGGAAAACGAAAGAAAAUCCCGUGGUACCUUUAGGCGCCAUGGCAACUGUAGCUGCUCUAACGGUUGGUGUUUAUAACUUUUACCAUGGGAAUACAAAGAUGUCUCAAUAUAUGAUGCGUGCACGUGUAGGGGCACAGGCAUUUACUAUAUUUGCUAUGGUUGCUGGAUUUAUGUUAACAGUAAAGGAAUAAAAAUUAGGUGAUGCAUCGCUAUUAA